This 560-nucleotide ribosomal RNA is filed under the name Floropilus chiversii. RNAcentral's name for it is "partial 28S ribosomal RNA". It matches the Rfam family "Eukaryotic large subunit ribosomal RNA", at positions 38 to 625 of the family's 3401-position model. Lineage: Eukaryota; Fungi; Ascomycota; Sordariomycetes; Sordariales; Chaetomiaceae. The record is from RNAcentral.
GCAUAUCAAUAAGCGGAGGAAAAGAAACCAACAGGGAUUGCCCUAGUAACGGCGAGUGAAGCGGCAACAGCUCAAAUUUGAAAUCUGGCCUCGGCCCGAGUUGUAAUUUGCAGAGGAAGCUUUAGGCGCGGCACCACCUGAGUCCCCUGGAACGGGGCGCCACAGAGGGUGAGAGCCCCGUAUAGUUGGACGCCUAGCCUGUGUAAAGCUCCUUCGACGAGUCGAGUAGUUUGGGAAUGCUGCUCAAAAUGGGAGGUAAAUUUCUUCUAAAGCUAAAUACCGGCCAGAGACCGAUAGCGCACAAGUAGAGUGAUCGAAAGAUGAAAAGCACUUUGAAAAGAGGGUUAAAUAGCACGUGAAAUUGUUGAAAGGGAAGCGCUUGUGACCAGACUUGCGCCGGGCUGAUCAUCCGGUGUUCUCACCGGUGCACUCUGCCCGGCUCAGGCCAGCAUCGGUUCUCGCGGGGGGAUAAAGGCACCGGGAACGUAGCUCCUCCGGGAGUGUUAUAGCCCGGGGCGUAAUGCCCUCGCGGGGACCGAGGACCGCGCUCUGCAAGGAUG